This 428-nucleotide ribosomal RNA is filed under the name uncultured bacterium. RNAcentral describes it as "bacterial SSU rRNA". It matches the Rfam family "Bacterial small subunit ribosomal RNA", at positions 355 to 775 of the family's 1533-position model. The record is from RNAcentral.
UGGGGAAUUUUGGACAAUGGGGGCAACCCUGAUCCAGCAAUGCCGCGUGUGUGAAGAAGGCCUGCGGGUUGUAAAGCACUUUAGGUGGGGAGAAAGGCUUCUGUUUGAAUAAAGUAGAAGAUUGAUGUUACCCACAGAAUAAGCACCGGCUAACUCUGUGCCAGCAGCCGCGGUAAUACAGAGGGUGCAAGCGUUAAUCGGAAUUAUUGGGCGUAAAGCGCAUGUAGGUGGUUUGUUAAGUUUGAUGUGAAAGCCCUGGGCUUAACCUGGGAAUGGCAUUGGAUACUGAUAGACUAGAGUCGGACAGAGGGCCGUGGAAUUUCCGGUGUAGCGGUGAAAUGCGUAGAGAUCGGAAAGAACAUCGAUGGCGAAGGCAGCGGCCUGGGUCCAGACUGACACUGAGGUGCGAAAGCGUGGGGAGCAAACAG